GUAGUGCGGCCGCAAUCGAAUACAAAACAAGACCAUCGUUACUUAUGGGGCUCGACUGGAAGUUAACUCGACAGUGUCGGCAGAGAGAAAGAGGAGAGAUCAUAUAUUUCUCCUUUAACGUCUCAAAAAACAAGACAGCGUGUAAAAACCAUGUGGAGCGACUCCAUCUCCGGAACCCCUCAGCACCAAUGACUGGAACUGCAUUAUGAAUGAUUUUAGAUUUUUGAAUGAGAUCUCUGCAGCCCUCUCCACUCUGAAGAUUGCCAUUGGAUUCAUGAAGCUUUCCUUUCCUAAUCCAAACCAGUACCUCACAAACUACUUGAAAAGGGACCUGAAACUUGAUGACAGAGUGCACAUAUUGAGUCGACCAGUGCCGAGAAGCAGUAGAGUGAAGCACAUCCAGUCUCUGUGGGAGGUUUUGUCUUUGAGACAGUCAUCUUUACUCAUUGAGAUGAAUCAGAAUCCAUUUUUCAUGAUUGAUGACCAGGAAUUUCAUGUCCACUUCUCAGAAGAAGAGAAGAAAAAAUAUAUGAAAAUUCUGGCAGGUUUCUCCAACAUUAACGUUCUCAUCACAGAGCUCCACUAUGUGAUCAUGAACAUCAGGUUCAAGGAUAUCAGUCCAGACUGGGGAAUUAUGGAAACCUUUGAAGCCUUCGAUGACAAAAAUGAGAUUGAUGUUAAGGCUGUGGAGUGUCUGGAGCCUCUUCGAGACUUGGAGAUGAGAUAUGGAAUCGCUCUGUGGAAACUCGCCGUACAGAUGAAGAAGGGCAUCAGGGGCACUAGAUAAAGUGAUUCAGGACACAAACAUGUCCAAGAGCAUCCAAGGUCUCCUAACUAUCCUUACAUAUAUAGUAUACUCUAAAUAAUCUCACCAAAUGUACUGCAAUUACUCAAAAACACUAUGUUAUCUAAAAAUGAAUCAUUUUGUGAUCUUUAACUAAUUGUGCUUCAUUUACUUUCUAAAAAUCUUGUUCUGUGUCUUUUAAGCGCUGUUUUUUGAUGUACAUGAACAGUUAUGCCUGGAUUUUGCUGUCAGCAUUUAAUGGCCACGUUUCUAGAGAAAUAUCCAAGUCCGGUUUAUUCCGUAUUCAGAAUUAACAGUUGUCUGUCACUGUCAUAAUAUAAAUGCAGCACCAAUAUUAGCUUUUUCUGGCAGCGUUAUGUAUAAUUUUACUGUGGUGAUUUGGGUAUUUUUGUUUUUUCUCUAUUUACCUUGUUUAUAAUUUAGCUUGUAAAAGUAAUUUUUCUGAACAAUUAUUAAAGGCUAUGUUUAAAAUUAUACAAAAAGUUGUAGAUUUAAACUAAUUUUAUAUAGUAAUUGUUUUGCCCACCACAUGCAAGAAGAAUUCAUGAGUUUCAUCACAUUAUGCAAACAUUUUCUUUUUUGUUUAUUUUUCAUUGAAAUAUGAGGUUAAUUUACAUUCUGCAUGGUGUAUUGAUGUAUUUAUGUAAACAAAGUCAAAUAUUCUUAGGAAUGUCCUCAAACAGUAUGUCGGCAUAUUCAUAACCAUUUAGUGUAAUGACUUUCUGUAAGGGCAAAAAAAAAAAACAUAUUAACUAAGGGUAAAAGGGUUUGAUUAUUUUGAUGAUCUACAAGCAAAUAAAUACUUCAUAAAUCAAAU
Molecule: long non-coding RNA, 1622 nt
Filed under: Astyanax mexicanus (Mexican tetra)
Lineage: Eukaryota; Metazoa; Chordata; Actinopteri; Characiformes; Acestrorhamphidae
Description: lncRNA (ENSAMXG00005000477.1)
Source: RNAcentral